Molecule: ribosomal RNA, 1074 nt
Filed under: uncultured bacterium
Lineage: Bacteria
Description: bacterial SSU rRNA
Rfam family: Bacterial small subunit ribosomal RNA
Source: RNAcentral
CGUUCCGUAAGGUUCGACUGUGGAAACCGGCGAACGGGUGCGUAACACGUGAGAAACCUGCCCCCCAGAUCGGGAUAGCCCAGGGAAACUUGGAUUAAUACCGGAUACUCUCUUUGGAUCACAUGAUCCGUUGAGGAAACAGUCCGCUGCUGGGGGAUGGUCUCGCGGCCUAUCAGCUUGUUGGUGAGGUAACGGCUCACCAAGGCUAAGACGGGUAGCUGGUCUGAGAGGACGAUCAGCCACACUGGAACUGAGACACGGUCCAGACUCCUACGGGAGGCAGCAGCAGGGAAUAUUGCACAAUGGGCGAAAGCCUGAUGCAGCGACACCGCGUGCGGGAUGACGGCCUUAGGGUUGUAAACCGCUUUCGGGAGGGAAGAAAAUGACGGUACCUCCUAAAGAAGCUCCGGCCAACUACGUGCCAGCAGCCGCGGUAAUACGUAGGGAGCAAACGUUGUCCGGAUUUAUUGGGCGUAAAGGGCUCGUAGGCGGUUCAACAAGUUGGUCGUGAAAGCCCGGGGCUCAACCCCGGGAGGCCGAUCAAAACUGUUGUGACUAGAGUUCGGUAGAGGUGAGUGGAAUUCUCGGUGUAGCGGUGGAAUGCGCAGAUAUCGAGAGGAACACCAUUAGCGAAGGCGGCUCACUGGGCCGAUACUGACGCUGAGGAGCGAAAGCGUGGGGAGCAAACAGGAUUAGAUACCCUGGUAGUCCACGCCGUAAACGAUGAACACUAGGUGUAGCGGAAUGAUUCAUUUCUGCUGCGCCGUAGCUAACGCAUUAAGUGUUCCGCCUGGGGAGUACGGCCGCAAGGCUAAAACUCAAAGGAAUUGACGGGGCCCCGCACAAGCGGCGGAGCAUGCGGCUUAAUUCGAUGCAACCCGAAGAACCUUACCUGGGUUUGACAUGGUGGGUCUAGCUGUGGAAACACAGUGUGCUUAGGCGCUCAUCACAGGUGGUGCAUGGCCGUCGUCAGCUCGUGUCGUGAGAUGUUGGGUUAAGUCCCGCAACGAGCGCAACCCUUGUCCUAUGUUGCCAGCACGUAAUGGUGGGGACUCAUGGGAGACUGCCGGGACA